RNAcentral lists this long non-coding RNA (267 nucleotides) under Elaeis guineensis (African oil palm). Its description in RNAcentral is "long non-coding RNA (EGUI_LNC076013)". The record is from RNAcentral. Lineage: Eukaryota; Viridiplantae; Streptophyta; Magnoliopsida; Arecales; Arecaceae.
UCUGCAUUGUACAAUUAAAAUCAAAUAGAGUUUCUCCCUCAAAAGUAUGGGCCUAAUCAAAACAGCAUAUUAUCAUACCAUUAAAAAACUAUAUUUUUUUAUUUUAAUGUGGUAUAAAAAUUGAAGAUAUGUGGAACAUUAAAAUUUCAGCUGCAAUUGAUCAUAUUUUUUUAGUUCAAGUUGUCUGAUGUUUACCACUGAUUUUGCAUUGACGUAAUUAGAGCCCUAAAUCUAUUUGUUAGACUACAGGUGGCACUCAUCUAGCCG